AGUGCACUAUGUAGGGAAUAGGGUGCCAUUUGGGACAUACCCUUUGAGAUAGCCCAAAGGCCUGCAGAUGGCGAUAUUGAGUCAUUUCAUCUUACCGUCCAAAUGGAAUGGAAUGCAGCUGGCUGUACACUCAUGUCCCACGUCGACCUGUUCAUACAUAAAACAUUCUCCAUUCAGGCUACAAAUGUAUACAUUUCAACCUUAACUUGAUUUAAUGGUGAGAAAGCAGAUAGAAAUGGGGAAAAUAUGCAUACUUUAUGAAACACCAUUUUCCACCACCAUGCUACAGUAGCGAAUGCUAGUCCUGGAUGAUGGAUAUCGUGUUCAGCCAAUCAGGUUACAGCAAUACGCAACAUCCAAAUAUAAAAUAAAAUAAAAUUGUGUUGGUCACAUAAACAUAUUUAGCAGAUGUUAUUGUGGGUGUAGCUAAAUGCUUGCGUUUCUAGCUCCAACAGUGCAGUAGUAUCUCACAAUUCACAACAAUACACACAAAUCUAAAAGGAAAAUAAUGGAAUUACGGAAUAUAUAAAUAUUAGUACUAAUAUUUAGCCACUCUAUCAUGAUGGUGGAAAAUAGUGUUUCAUAGUGAGUACGCAUAUUUUCCCUGUUUUUUCUCUCUACCUUCUCGCAAUUAAAUUGGGUUAAAGAGAAAAUGGACGCCUUAGCAGCCUGAAUGGAGAAUGUUUUAUGUACGAUCCGGUCCAGGGGGGUGGGAGUGUGUACAUUCCCUUUGGAUGGUAGGAUGAAACGACUCAAUAUCACCAUGUUCCAGCCUUUGGGCUACUUCUGAGAAGUGCGACUGAGUUGAGAAAGCACAAUGUCAAUAUGGUUAUGCUAUGUAUUUAUGUGUGCAGAUAAGCUAAUAUGAUGUGGAGGAUUUUUUUGGUUUUCUUGUAGAGACUAAGGGCUCUAUUCAAUCUGUAUUGCUGAAGCGGUAGAGUUUGCACACUAGAAAUGUUAAGGCAGUUUCCGAUUGAGCUGCCUUUAAAUUUCAAUCACGCUGUAACGCUGAACUUCUGUGAUACGGAUUGAAUAGAGUGCUUAUAUUUGUACCAUAGGCCUACACAUUCUCCCAAAAAUACCAUCAUUUAAAACAUCUUUCUGUAAAUGUUGAUCCGGUUGUCCAAUUAGCAUCAUUGUUCUUUACACUGCCCUCCAAUCGCUGAUCCUUUCUAUUCCUUGCUAUGUUACGCACCCCAACAUUAUUUCUGAGAGAGAAAGAGUGUGUGUGUCUGUGUGCGUGCGUGAUUGUUUUGUGUAUAUUUGGGGGAAAGGAGAGCUGAUAUUGGUUAAGGAGGAGAGGUGGUCUGUGAAGACAGUUCAAAGUUCAAGGCCAAAGUUGACAUGGUGCACUGUAUUACUUCCAAAGUUCGUUGUGGAUUGUUAUGUCAGAUUGUUUUUAACACAAUAAAAUACCCAGUUACUUUACAUCU
Molecule: long non-coding RNA, 1433 nt
Organism: Oncorhynchus tshawytscha (Chinook salmon)
Lineage: Eukaryota; Metazoa; Chordata; Actinopteri; Salmoniformes; Salmonidae
Source: Ensembl